AGAUGAUGAUGAUGAUGAUGAUGAUGAUGAUGAUAACGAUGCCGUCAGCUCUGCUGCUAUUAUUGUGUUUUUAUUGUUAUUGUUGUCGUUAUCAUCAUCGUCGCUAUUAUCACAACC
RNAcentral lists this microRNA precursor (117 nucleotides) under Bigelowiella natans CCMP2755. Its description in RNAcentral is "miRNA EPrBNAG00000013455". The record is from RNAcentral. Lineage: Eukaryota; Cercozoa; Chlorarachniophyceae.